Molecule: long non-coding RNA, 2658 nt
Organism: Athalia rosae (coleseed sawfly)
Lineage: Eukaryota; Metazoa; Arthropoda; Insecta; Hymenoptera; Athaliidae
Exons: 3
Source: RefSeq, a predicted model, not a curated record
GACCAGACUACGCGAAGUAAGUUUCGCCUCGCAUCCGUUUUAUUGUAUUCGCAUCCAGAUAGGCACACCGGAUUCCAGGAGAGGAUUACCUACACGUCUCACGGAAUCCUCGCGCAGGAAGAUUCGAGGACCUGUAACCAUAAAAAAUAAACAAAAUCAGAACGAUAUUCUUCUGAAGAAGUAAGGAUAAAAAGCAAAAACUUUCGCUCGUAAUCGAGGAGAAUCGAAGUAUGGCUGACUACGGAGUAGAACGUUGCGAAUCCGUGCACAUAUUCCGAUUCCGUUCACUCCUCGGAAAGGGGGCGGAAAGUGGGGUAAACUUUUUAACUCAAGCUAACUUUGAAAAUUCAAAAUCUGGGUGAAUUUCCUUCACUUGUUUAUUUAUUUAUCAAUUUUUUUUUCGUUUCCCCUCCCUCCCUCGAUCCCCCUGUGGGCAGGGAGCGGAAAACUGGUUAGUUAUCGUCGUUCGUAUUCCUCUUUCGGGAUAUAAUUUAGCAACAAAUCAAAAAGCUUGUGCUCGGGAAUGAAGCAUCUCCUUAUUUUUUCGUUCCUCACCCACACCGGCGUUGCACAAGGAUUCCAAGGCGCCCUGUAUACUUUAUCCAUAAAUAUAAACUCCCGCCAAGGUUUUGUGUUGCGGGGAAACGCGAAGGCUAUAUAUUUCUAUAUAGUGCUAUACGAGGUAUAAUGGGAUACAAAAGUACCUCAAAACUCGCGGGUUUUGAAAGCGUUCGUGUAUAUACCUAUAUACGCGCAAUAUAAACCGCUCAUUGUUCCGAAUAAUAAAGUACAGGUAACAGUCAUUGUGCCGAGGUACCAUUGUUGACUCAAGAUGCGGAAUAUCUUUGGUUUUCACAUCCUACCGCCUUCUCACCUGGGAGACAUUUUACACCCUCAUUAAUUUCGAUUCUCAAUGAAAAGUCUCCAUCUAUUUCAUACUUCAACCAACAACAGCUCCGUCUAUAUCUCCACUCGAAAUAUAAAAGACUGACGCUCAUACGUGCGAUAAUGAUAAUAGAAAAAAUAGUAAUUUCGACUAACAAAAACAAAUGAUCCCUAAUUGGUUGAAUUCUACUCGAAUGACCGACUCGUUUUCAAGGAUAAUUUAUUAUCCGACGGUCGAGUCAGCGAAUCUUAGGUUUGAAUUUUUUUCAUCGAGUCUUUUCCAACCCCCUUCUUUUUUUUUUGGUUUCAUCUAUCUAAUUUCCAAGCGAUCGUUUCACCGAUAAAAACUAAAGUUGCAGAGAAUAUUCUUCACGAACCGCAUCGCGGUUAGUUUUUUCACCUUACGUGCAGUUAUAUCGUCGAAAGCUGUUUUCCGAAUCAACGAGAGAAUUGAGAAAAUAUAUAGGUGGGGUGAAAUCUGUCCAUUUGUUCCAGAGUUUCUUUUCUGGGAUAUUUCUUCGCGGCUAGAACGGUCAAAGGUCACACGGGAUUUACGCUGUAGCUACAUCGUAUCCACCCCCCUCUGCUACCGCCGCUCUCUUACUUUCCACCCUUAAGCCCGCACCCCGCGCAUUCGGUUGUUACGUCAACGGCCGACGGUAGUGAUUUUAGGCGGUAUUAAAGUCCAGGGAGGCGAAUCGAAACACGAUAAAAUUCGUUGAGAGAGAAAUUUCUCUUGGUAAAAUAUUACGGACAAUCCUUCAGUCUCUCCCUCUACGCUCCACCCGCGCAUUCUCGUUCCACUUGUUCUUUUAUUUAUUUAUUUAGCGAUCCUUUUUUUUUCUUCUGUUUGUUGAAACGACAAUCGAUGUUGUUCGUUUCAGCCGAUCGCGUAUGCGUGUAUACAUAUAUUUGCUAUGGAUAAAUUGGUUUCCAUUGAAUCCUCAAAAGGGAGAAUUUUCGAACGGUGCAAGAAAUCGAAUCGUUUCUCCUUUUUUCCUCUCCCUCCUCUUUCGAUUACGCGCAUCGAACGAUUGUUUCGCGAUUCGCGCUAUUAUUCUACACGCCUGAUACUUUUUCAUUCAUCAUCGUGCGCUCGGAUUUUUCGUUCCCAAGGGUUGCGAUGGCGGCAACAUAGAACGGAGUGUUGCGCCGACUGUAGUUUUACUCAUCCUAUACGUGUACCCCGAAAAGCGAAAAACAAAAAAUGAAGAAAACACAAAAAAAAUAAAAAAUAAAAAAAACCCAGUCGAUCGGAAGUCGAACUGGGUCAGCCCGCGGUCUGCCCGUUGUGCGGGUUUGCUCGCGAGAUGAACAAAAACAAGUACGUAAGGGUCUGAAAUACGACUAUGACCGAGCGGAAAAAGUUAAUCAAUUUCUUUCCGCGCUGAGCUGAUGUAAAGAAUUUCAACAAUCGGGAUGCACGCGUAUCGUUGGGGAGAAAAUAAUUCCAUCGAUCGACGUAUAAAUAAGUAAAUUCCCCGCGAUGCCAUUUUUACGAUAUUUUAUUCAUUGUACAAGAGAAAAGCUCGGGCGUCAGCUGUCACCCCCGACAAAUAACAUCGUCAACUCAGUUUCCCUUAUUUAGAUUUCCUCAACCUUUUUUCCAUCUAUUUUUUUAUGCUCAACAUUCGGCCUUGUUUGACAAACAAGUUUGCCCUGAUAUUGCCGGCGCGCCGAUUCCAUAAUAAAAGACGAAUUUCAACGCGAUGAUGGGACACCCGUAUUUCCAUUUUCCCCGCACAAAUUGGAUAUUGGAAAUAUGCGAUGCAG